CACACCCUGCAAUGACCGUGUUAGGGCCGCAUGUUGUGAGCCAACACCAACACCUAGGGAGCCCGGACUCUGGUCGUGGCUUGUAAGCCCCCGGCGAGGGGAAACAAAAAGCGUCCAGGAGGGCACCCACCUGCGGAGAGCGGGUUCAUGAAACUGCGGCACGGCACGGCAUUUGUGGGGUUUUG
Non-coding RNA from Moorella sp. 60_41, 185 nucleotides. The record is from Rfam. Lineage: Bacteria; Bacillati; Bacillota; Clostridia; Neomoorellales; Neomoorellaceae.